CCUACGGGAGGCAGCAGUGAGGAAUAUUGGUCAAUGGGCGGGAGCCUGAACCAGCCAAGCCGCGUGAGGGAAGAAGGUACAGCGUAUCGUAAACCUCUUUUGCCAGGGAACAAAGGCGGGGACUAGUCCCCGGAUGAGGGUACCUGAAGAAAAAGCAUCGGCUAACUCCGUGCCAGCAGCCGCGGUAAUACGGAGGAUGCGAGCGUUAUCCGGAUUUAUUGGGUUUAAAGGGUGCGCAGGCGGCGUGUUAAGUCAGCGGUAAAAGGUCGGGGCUCAACCCCGGCGAGCCGUUGAAACUGGCGGGCUGGAGUUGGAGAGAAGUACGCGGAAUGCGCGGUGUAGCGGUGAAAUGCUUAGAUAUCGCGAAGAACCCCGAUUGCGAAGGCAGCAUACCGGCUCCACACUGACGCUGAGGCACGAAAGCGUGGGUAUCGAACAGGAUUAGAUACCCCUGUAGUC
This 459-nucleotide ribosomal RNA is filed under the name uncultured bacterium. Its description in RNAcentral is "partial 16S ribosomal RNA". It matches the Rfam family "Bacterial small subunit ribosomal RNA", at positions 338 to 795 of the family's 1533-position model. The record is from RNAcentral.